Non-coding RNA from Cyanistes caeruleus (blue tit), 579 nucleotides. The record is from RefSeq and is a predicted model, not a curated record. Lineage: Eukaryota; Metazoa; Chordata; Aves; Passeriformes; Paridae.
GGCGAGUUCGUGGCCCAGUUCAAGUUCACGGUGCUGCUGAUGCCCAACGGCCCCAUGAGGAUCACGAGCGGCCCCUUCGAGCCCGAGCUCUACAAAUCCGACCUGGAGGUGCAGGACGGGGAGCUCAAGGCCCUUCUACAAAGCUCCGCCAGCCGCAAGACCCAGAAAAAGAAGAAAAAGAAGGCUUCCAAAAACGCGGAAAACGCCACCACGGGGGAGACGGCGGAGGAGAACGAGGCCGGCGACUGAGAAAUCGCUUUGGAGUUCUCAAAUCGCUCCUUUUUUCCCCAAAAAAACAAACAAACAAACAAAAAAAAUCCCCACAAAAAAACAAAAUUCCAUCCGGAAACGAAAUAAUCUGGCGUUGGUCCGGACAUAAAUUCCAGUCUGGAAUUCCCACAGAAUCCCAACAGCUCCCGUUGAUUUUGCCAAGGAGGGAGGAAUCUCUCGGUCACUUCAGAUUUUUAAAAGCGAAAAAAUAAUAAUAAUAAUAAUAAUAAUAAUAAAAAACAUCCCCAAAAGAGCAGCAAAAAAAAAAAAUAAUAAUAAUAAAAAUUAGGAGUGGAAAUCGCUAUUAAA